This 563-nucleotide long non-coding RNA is filed under the name Phoenix dactylifera (date palm). RNAcentral describes it as "long non-coding RNA (PDAC_LNC005527)". Lineage: Eukaryota; Viridiplantae; Streptophyta; Magnoliopsida; Arecales; Arecaceae. The record is from RNAcentral.
AGGCGGCGUGGGGUGGUGGAAAGCGGUGGUCGGGAAAAAAAAAACCAAAGAAGAGAGGUAGUCGGGAAAAUAAAGAAGGGAAAGAAGAAAUCUCCCGCACGUGCGUGACUUAUGCGUCACAUGCGGCAAUUCAAAUUUUGACCUUUUUUUUAUUAACUCAAGUGGAGUCGGGUUAUCGGAUUAACAAACCCAACCCACUAAGAUAGUCCGAUCCGCAAGAUUUUUUUUUUUGAAUGAUUCGGGCUAAUGGAUGAUGGGCUAAUGGGUGUAGACCUUACCCGCACUGUAGACCAUCUUCCCCCUUCGAUGACUCCGCCGGAUCACGCCUGAUUUCGCGGCGGUGGUUGCGGGGAGGCGUUGCGCCGGUGGAGUAGGGUGGCGUCGAAUGGGGCAGCGGCGUCCUUCUCCUAGAUCCGGCCACGGGCGGUGGCCGCAAGAUGCGGCCGAAGCAUCCGGGGAGGCACGGUGGUGUCCGAUGGCGAAUCAGCGGUGCAACGAAACGGCGGCGGUGGUUGGUGCAUGCACAGUGACGGUUGGAGGGGAAAAUGACGAGGAGGCCAGCU